AAUCCGGUUGAUCCUGCCGGACCUGACUGCUAUCGGAUUGAUACUAAGCCAUGCGAGUCAUUGUAGCAAUACAAGGCAUACGGCUCAGUAACGCGUAGUCAACCUGCCCUAUGGACGGGAAUAACCUCGGGAAACUGAGAAUAAUGCCCGAUAGAACAUUAUAUCUGGAAUGGUUUAUGUUCCAAAUGAUUUAUCGCCGUAGGAUGGGACUGCGGCCUAUCAGUUUGUUGGUGAGGUAAUGGCCCACCAAGACUAUUACAGGUACGGGCUCUGAGAGGAGUAGCCCGGAGAUGGGUACUGAGACACGGA
RNAcentral lists this ribosomal RNA (309 nucleotides) under Candidatus Nitrosopumilus sp. RNAcentral's name for it is "bacterial SSU rRNA". It matches the Rfam family "Archaeal small subunit ribosomal RNA", at positions 1 to 314 of the family's 1478-position model. The record is from RNAcentral. Lineage: Archaea; Thermoproteati; Nitrososphaerota; Nitrososphaeria; Nitrosopumilales; Nitrosopumilaceae.